Molecule: small nucleolar RNA, 124 nt
Organism: Erpetoichthys calabaricus (reedfish)
Lineage: Eukaryota; Metazoa; Chordata; Cladistia; Polypteriformes; Polypteridae
Source: Ensembl
GCAGACUCACUCUGUGCUUGGCUGACUUCCAGCCUGGUGCUUUUUAUGUCUGCUAUAUCAAAUCCAGUAACUGCUGAGUUGAUUUACUUUCUGAUGAGUAAAUUCUGAUUACUGGGACAAUUGG